RNAcentral lists this ribosomal RNA (253 nucleotides) under uncultured bacterium. Its description in RNAcentral is "partial 16S ribosomal RNA". It matches the Rfam family "Bacterial small subunit ribosomal RNA", at positions 524 to 776 of the family's 1533-position model. The record is from RNAcentral.
UACGUAGGGCGCAAGCGUUGUCCGGAAUUAUUGGGCGUAAAGAGCUCGUAGGCGGCUUGUCACGUCGGUUGUGAAAGCCCGGGGCUUAACCCCGGGUCUGCAGUCGAUACGGGCAGGCUAGAGUGUGGUAGGGGAGAUCGGAAUUCCUGGUGUAGCGGUGAAAUGCGCAGAUAUCAGGAGGAACACCGGUGGCGAAGGCGGAUCUCUGGGCCAUUACUGACGCUGAGGAGCGAAAGCGUGGGGAGCAAACAGG